GGUUAAAUUGUCUUUGGGUUAUAAUUAGGUUAAGUUUUAGGGUUAGGUUUAGGGCCAGAUUAAGGGUUAUGUUUAGGGCUAGGUUUAGAAUUAAAUUGUCUUUUGGGUUAUAAUUAGGUUAAGUUUUAGGGUUAGGGUUAGGUUUAGGGCCAGAUUAAGGGUUAUGUUUAGGGCUAGGUUUAAAAUUAAAUUGUCUUUUGGGUUAUAAUUAGGUUAAGUUUUAGGUUUUAGGGUUAGGUUUAGGGCCAGAUUAAAGGUUAUGUUUAGGGUUAGGGUUAGGGUUAGGUUUAGGGCCAGAUUAAAGGUUAUGUUUAGGGCCAGGUUUAGGGUUAAACUGUCUUUGGGUUAUAAUUAGGUUAAGUUUUAGGGUUAGGUUUAGGGCCAGAUUAAAGGUUAUGUUUAGGGUUAGGGUUAGGGUUAGGUUUAGGGCCAGAUUAAAGGUUAUGUUUAGGGCCAGGUUUAGGGUUAAACUGUCUUUGGGUUAUAAUUAGGUUAAGUUUUAGGGUUAGGGUUAGGUUUAGGGCCAGAUUAAAGGUUAUGUUUAGGGCCAGGUUUAGGGUUAAAUUGUCUUUGAGUCAUAAUUAGGUUAAGUUUUAGGUUAGGUUAGGUUUAGGGCCAGAGUAAAGGUUAUGUUUAUGGUUAGG
This is a long non-coding RNA of Astyanax mexicanus (Mexican tetra), 644 nucleotides long. RefSeq lists it as uncharacterized. Lineage: Eukaryota; Metazoa; Chordata; Actinopteri; Characiformes; Acestrorhamphidae. The record is from RefSeq and is a predicted model, not a curated record. The transcript is spliced from 4 exons.